GACGAACGCUGGCGGCGUGCUUAACACAUGCAAGUCGAACGGAAAGGCCCUGCUUUUGUGGGGUGCUCGCGUGGCGAACGGGUGAGUAACACGUGAGUAACCUGCCCUUGACUUUGGGAUAACUUCACGAAACUGGGGCUAAUACCGGCUAGGAGCUCCUGCUGCAUGGUGGGGGUUGGAAAGUUUCGGCGGUUGGGGAUGGACUCGCGGCUUAUCAGCUUGUUGGUGGGGUAGUGGCUUACCAAGGCUUUGACGGGUAGCCGGCCUGAGAGGGUGACCGGCCACAUUGGGACUGAGAUACGGCCCAGACUCCUACGGGAGGCAGCAGUGGGGAAUAUUGCACAAUGGGCGGAAGCCUGAUGCAGCAACGCCGCGUGCGGGAUGACGGCCUUCGGGUUGUAAACCGCUUUCGCCUGUGACGAAGCGUGAGUGACGGUAAUGGGUAAAGAAGCACCGGCUAACUACGUG
RNAcentral lists this ribosomal RNA (468 nucleotides) under uncultured bacterium. Its description in RNAcentral is "partial 16S ribosomal RNA". It matches the Rfam family "Bacterial small subunit ribosomal RNA", at positions 28 to 507 of the family's 1533-position model. The record is from RNAcentral.